UACGAAGGGGCUAGCGUUGCUCGGAAUUACUGGGCGUAAAGCGCACGUAGGCGGAUUGUUAAGUCGGGGUGAAAUCCUGGAGCUCAACUCCAGAACUGCCUUCGAAACUGGCGAUCUUGAGUCCGGGAGAGGUGAGUGGAACUGCGAGUGUAGAGGUGAAAUUCGUAGAUAUUCGCAAGAACACCAGUGGCGAAGGCGGCUCACUGGCCCGGUACUGACGCUGAGGUGCGAAAGCGUGGGAGCAAC
RNAcentral lists this ribosomal RNA (246 nucleotides) under uncultured bacterium. RNAcentral describes it as "partial 16S ribosomal RNA". It matches the Rfam family "Bacterial small subunit ribosomal RNA", at positions 524 to 772 of the family's 1533-position model. The record is from RNAcentral.